CUGAACCCACCUUGGCUUGCGCGUAGUCAUUGGCUGCCUAUUAGAAUAAAUUGAGGACAAUGCAUUCCGCUGCCUGCCAAUUGUAAACAUAAGGGAUAUGUAUUCACUUAGCAUUGACUUUUGGGAGGGGCCAAGGAAAAGCUGUACUUUUAUUGAAUAGGGCUGUGUGUGAGGCUGCUGGUGUGCCUUUCUUGCUGCGCUCCUGCCCAAGCAGCCGGUUAUUCAUUUCCUUCCUACUAGCUGAGAACUUUGCAGCCAGAGAGAUCACCUCGUUUUUCUGGAGUCGUCAUUUUGAUUCAUCAAGCAGCUGGUUUGUUACUGAAAAGCUCAGAAUAUUUCCUCUGACUGCCUUCCUGUGAGUAUGAUCAAAGAAGUUACCUCAGACUUCCUUUCUUGUGGUAUUCAGAAGUUGGGGGGUGGUUUUGAGGCUUUUUUUUCUUGUGUGUUUU
Long non-coding RNA from Corvus moneduloides (New Caledonian crow), 449 nucleotides. Lineage: Eukaryota; Metazoa; Chordata; Aves; Passeriformes; Corvidae. The record is from Ensembl.